AUUGAACGCUGGCGGCAGGCCUAACACAUGCAAGUCGAGCGGAUGAAGGGAGCUUGCUCCUGGAUUCAGCGGCGGACGGGUGAGUAAUGCCUAGGAAUCUGCCUGGUAGUGGGGGAUAACGUCCGGAAACGGGCGCUAAUACCGCGUACGUCCUGAGGGAGAAAGUGGGGGAUCUUCGGACCUCACCCUAGCAAAGGAGCCUAGGUCGGAUUAGCUAGUUGGUGGGGUAAAGGCCUACCAAGGCGACGAUCCGUAACUGGUCUGAGAGGAUGAUCAGUCACACUGGAACUGAGACACGGUCCAGACUACUACGGGAGGCAGCAGUGGGGAAUAUUGGACAAUGGGCGAAAGCCUGAUCCAGCCAUGCCGCGUGUGUGAAGAAGGUCUUCGGAUUGUAAAGCACUUUAAGUUGGGAGGAAGGGCAGUAAGUUAAUACCUUGCUGUUUUGACGUUACCAACAGAAUAAGCACCGGCUAACUUCGUG
RNAcentral lists this ribosomal RNA (484 nucleotides) under uncultured bacterium. RNAcentral's name for it is "partial 16S ribosomal RNA". It matches the Rfam family "Bacterial small subunit ribosomal RNA", at positions 30 to 507 of the family's 1533-position model. The record is from RNAcentral.